AUCUACUGCUGCUAAUCUAUCGCCGCUGCUAAGCUAUCUCUCACUGCUAAGCUAUCGCCGCUGCCAACCUAUCUAUUGCUGCAAGCUAUCCCUCACUGCUAAGCUAUCGCUGCCAACCUCUCUAUUGCUGCAAGCUAUCCCUCACUGCUAAGCUAUCGCUGCCAACCUCUCUAUUGCUGCAAGCUAUCCCUCACUGCUAAGCUAUCGCUGCCAACCUAUCUAUCACUGCCAAUUUAUCUACCACUGUCAAUCUAUCUAUUGCUGCUGUCAAUCUAUCUAUCACUGCUAAUCUAUCUAUCGCUGCUAAUCUAUUGCUGCUGCCAAUCUAUCCCUCACUGCUAAGCUAUCCCUUGCUGCUAAGCUAUCACUGUCAAUCUAUCACUGCUAAUCUAUUGCUGCCAAUCUAUCUACUGCAGUGAAUCUAUCUAUCACUGCCAAUUUAUCUACCACUGUCAAUCUAUCUAUCACUGUCAAUCUAUUGCUGCUAAUCUAUCACUGCUAAUCUAUCACUGCUAAUCUAUCACUGUCAAUCUAUCUACCAUGGCAAAUCUAUCUAUCACUAUCAUUACUAGUUCAAAAUAGAACUAGAGCAUAAAUACACUAAACUUCUUUUGAUAGAUAAUGAUUUUUGAUAAUGCUCAUAGCAUUAUAUCAUCUAUAUAGGGUAAAUCAUGAUCCCAUUUGGUCCCAUUUUGUUAAAAUGGGAUCAAAUGGGAUCAGAAUCAGUAAUUUAUAAGAAGAAC
Molecule: small RNA, 743 nt
Filed under: Histoplasma ohiense
Lineage: Eukaryota; Fungi; Ascomycota; Eurotiomycetes; Onygenales; Ajellomycetaceae
Description: hypothetical lncRNA
Source: RNAcentral